GUCGACCCGCCACAGAAAAAUACACGCAUUGUCAUUUAAAACGUGACGACGCGCACACGGCACCCACAUACUACCUCACUAUAUUCAUUCUCGAUGUUUUGUGAUGUAAAUAUAUUGGAUUGAGUGAUAAUGCUGAUAAAGUGAUUGUUCAGUGCCUAAUCUUUAGUGCUGGUGUUAAAAAACAAAACAAUGAACGAACAGGAUCUCAUCGUGGCCCGCGCGCUAGCGGCGGAGUCACGUGACAACUCUCCUGGCGGAUCUCCAGGACCUCUUAGAAAAACUGCUCUCUCCAAAGUAGCUGAUAGAUUACAGACAUUCAGGCGGACUAGGUCCCUGAACGCCCCCUCGCCUAUACAACAGUUCGGACCAUGUGGCAGAAUAAUGAAAAAUUCCGCUAUGGUUAUGCAAAUCCAGGACCCAGCGUCGCAAAGGCUGACUUGGUACAAACCGCCGCUGACGGUGUUGGUCAUCAAGAAAGUGCACGACGCUACCAUCCUAGCACCUUUCGUACAACUCGUACAUUGGCUAGUGCAUGACAAAAGCAUGGUGGUGUUUGUGGAGGCGGCGGUGUUGGACGACACGCUGGUGGCGCAGUACGGCGAGUUCGCGGCCGUGCGCGAGCGCCUGAUGACCUUCCGCGCCGGCACCGACGACCUCACUGACAAGAUCGACUUCAUCAUCUGCCUCGGAGGUGACGGCACGCUGCUGCACGCCAGCUCGCUGUUUCAGCAAUCAGUCCCGCCGGUGAUGGCAUUCCAUUUAGGUUCAUUAGGUUUCCUCACGCCCUUCGAGUUUAACAACUUCCAGGAACAAGUUAUGAACGUAUUAGAAGGUCACGCAGCAUUAACGCUGCGGUCGCGUCUUCAAUGCGUGGUGCUGCGCAAGUGCCAGGACGACACCAAGGAGAAGAAGAAGCCCACCACCAUACUGGUGUUGAACGAGGUGGUGGUGGACCGAGGACCCUCGCCGUACCUGUCCAACAUUGACUUGUUUCUGGACGGCAAACAUAUUACCUCCGUGCAAGGAGACGGUCUUAUCGUGUCGACGCCGACGGGCAGCACUGCGUACGCGGUGGCGGCGGGCGCCAGCAUGAUCCACCCGUCCGUGCCCGCCAUCAUGGUGACGCCCAUCUGUCCGCACUCGCUCUCCUUCCGGCCCAUCGUGGUGCCCGCCGGCGUCGAGCUGAAGAUCGCACUAUCGCCGGACGCGCGUAACGCUAUGUGGGUAUCGUUCGACGGACGCAACAGACAGGCGUUACAGCACGGAGAUAGAUAACGCCUAGUAUAGAGGCGCGUAACGUGGCGAGUGUCUCCUUCGACGGUCGCUCGCAGUUGACGCUCAGGCCGGGCGAUAGUCUAUACGUAACGACGUCUGUAUACCCGGUGCCGUCGAUUUGCGCGCAGGACCAGAUAUCGGACUGGUUCGACUCACUCGCCGAGUGUCUGCAUUGGAACGUGCGCAAGAAGCAGAAACAGAUCGACGAGAUGAGCGACAUGACCCACUCGUCCAG
RNAcentral lists this unclassified non-coding RNA (1510 nucleotides) under Manduca sexta (tobacco hornworm). RNAcentral describes it as "nAD kinase, transcript variant X6". Lineage: Eukaryota; Metazoa; Arthropoda; Insecta; Lepidoptera; Sphingidae. The record is from RNAcentral.